This 500-nucleotide ribosomal RNA is filed under the name uncultured Rikenellaceae bacterium. RNAcentral describes it as "bacterial SSU rRNA". It matches the Rfam family "Bacterial small subunit ribosomal RNA", at positions 904 to 1382 of the family's 1533-position model. The record is from RNAcentral. Lineage: Bacteria; Pseudomonadati; Bacteroidota; Bacteroidia; Bacteroidales; Rikenellaceae.
GCCUGCCAGCCCGCUCAGAACCUUAAAUGAUUGACGGGGCCGCACAAGCGGAGGAACAUGUGGUUUAAUUCGAUGAUACGCGAGGAACCUUACCUGGGCUAGAACGCAAUCGGAAUCAGGCCGAAAGGUCUGCGCCAGCGAUGGCCGGUUGCGAGGUGCUGCAUGGUUGUCGUCAGCUCGUGCCGUGAGGUGUCGGGUUAAGUCCCAUAACGAGCGCAACCCCUACUGCUAGUUGCCAGCGGGUCAUGCCGGGGACUCUAGCGGAACUGCCAGCGUAAGCUGCGAGGAAGGUGGGGAUGACGUCAAAUCAGCACGGCCCUUACGUCCAGGGCUACACACGUGUUACAAUGGCCAGUACAGAGGGCAGCCACCCCGCGAGGGGGCGCUAAUCCUAAAAGCUGGUCCCAGUUCGGAUCGGAGUCUGCAACCCGACUCCGUGAAGCUGGAUUCGCUAGUAAUCGCGCAUCAGCCACGGCGCGGUGAAUACGUUCCCGGGCCUU